AACGCGAAGAACCUUACCAGGUCUUGACAUCCCUCUGACGUCACUAGAGAUAGUGAGUUCCUUCGGGACAGAGGAGACAGGUGGUGCAUGGUUGUCGUCAGCUCGUGUCGUGAGAUGUUGGGUUCAGUCCCGCAACGAGCGCAACCCUUAUUUUUAGUUGCCAGCAUUAAGUUGGGCACUCUAGAAAGACAGCCGGUGAAAGCCGGAGGAAGGUGGGGAUGAGGUCAAAUCAUCAUGCCCCUUAUGACCUGGGCUACACACGUGCUACAAUGGCUGAAACAAAGGGAAGCGAAUCCGCGAGGAGGAGCAAAUCCCAAAAAACCAGUCACAGUUCAGAUCGUAGGCUGCAACUCGCCUACGUGAAGUCGGAAUCGCUAGUAAUCGCAGAUCAGCAUGCUGCGGUGAAUACGUUCCCGGGCCUUGUACACACCGUGUCGA
Molecule: ribosomal RNA, 438 nt
Filed under: uncultured bacterium
Lineage: Bacteria
Description: bacterial SSU rRNA
Rfam family: Bacterial small subunit ribosomal RNA
Source: RNAcentral